RNAcentral lists this ribosomal RNA (2878 nucleotides) under Ralstonia solanacearum. RNAcentral's name for it is "23S ribosomal RNA". It matches the Rfam family "Bacterial large subunit ribosomal RNA". Lineage: Bacteria; Pseudomonadati; Pseudomonadota; Betaproteobacteria; Burkholderiales; Burkholderiaceae. The record is from RNAcentral.
GGUCAAGCGAAUAAGUGCAUGUGGUGGAUGCCUUGGCGAUCACAGGCGAUGAAGGACGUAGUAGCUUGCGAAAAGCUGCGGGGAGCUGGCAAACGAGCUUUGAUCCGCAGAUGUCCGAAUGGGGAAACCCGGCCCGUAUGGGUCAUCCCUUGCUGAAUACAUAGGCAAGGGAGGCGAACGCAGUGAACUGAAACAUCUAAGUAGCUGCAGGAAAAGAAAUCAACCGAGAUUCCCAAAGUAGUGGCGAGCGAAAUGGGAACAGCCUUGUACUCUUUAGCAGUAUUGUUAGCGGAACGGAAUGGAAAGUCCGGCCAUAGUGGGUGAUAGCCCCGUACGCGAAAACAGUAUUGUGGAACUAGGUGUACGACAAGUAGGGCGGGACACGUGAAAUCCUGUCUGAAGAUGGGGGGACCAUCCUCCAAGGCUAAAUACUCGUGAUCGACCGAUAGUGAACCAGUACCGUGAGGGAAAGGCGAAAAGAACCCCGGGAGGGGAGUGAAAUAGAUCCUGAAACCGCAUGCAUACAAACAGUCGGAGCCUGGAAACGGGUGACGGCGUACCUUUUGUAUAAUGGGUCAGCGACUUACAUUCAGUGGCAAGCUUAACCGAUUAGGGAAGGCGUAGCGAAAGCGAGUCCGAAUAGGGCGUUCAGUCGCUGGGUGUAGACCCGAAACCAAGUGAUCUAUCCAUGGCCAGGUUGAAGGUGCGGUAACACGUACUGGAGGACCGAACCCACUAACGUUGAAAAGUUAGGGGAUGAGCUGUGGAUAGGGGUGAAAGGCUAAACAAACUUGGAAAUAGCUGGUUCUCUCCGAAAACUAUUUAGGUAGUGCCUCGUGUCUCACCUUCGGGGUAGAGCACUGUCAUGGUUGGGGGGUCUAUUGCUGAUUACCCCGCCAUAGCAAACUCCGAAUACCGAAGAGUGCAAUCACGGGAGACAGACAUCGGGUGCUAACGUCCGGUGUCAAGAGGGAAACAACCCAGACCGCCAGCUAAGGUCCCUAAGAUUGGCUAAGUGGGAAACGAAGUGGGAAGGCUAAAACAGUCAGGAGGUUGGCUUAGAAGCAGCCACCCUUUAAAGAAAGCGUAAUAGCUCACUGAUCGAGUCGUCCUGCGCGGAAGAUGUAACGGGGCUAAGCCAGUCACCGAAGCUGCGGAUGCACGUAAGUGCAUGGUAGGAGAGCGUUCUGUAAGCCUGUGAAGGUGUCUUGUAAAGGAUGCUGGAGGUAUCAGAAGUGCGAAUGCUGACAUGAGUAGCGAUAAAGGGGGUGAAAGGCCCCCUCGCCGUAAGCCCAAGGUUUCCUACGCAACGUUCAUCGGCGUAGGGUGAGUCGGCCCCUAAGGCGAGGCAGAGAUGCGUAGCUGAUGGGAAGCAGGUUAAUAUUCCUGCACCGUCGUAUGAUGCGAUGGGGGGACGGAUCGCGGAAGGUUGUCCGGGUGUUGGAAGUCCCGGUCCCUACAUUGGAGAUGGCACUUAGGCAAAUCCGGGUGCGUGAUUCAAGGGUGUGGGGCGAGCGACGUUAGGUCGCGAAGCAAUUGGAAGUGGUUCCAAGAAAAGCCUCUAAGCUUCAGUCAUACGAGACCGUACCGCAAACCGACACAGGUGGGCGAGAUGAGUAUUCUAAGGCGCUUGAGAGAACUCGGGAGAAGGAACUCGGCAAAUUGGUACCGUAACUUCGGGAUAAGGUACGCCCUUGUAGUUUGACUGGCUCGCGCCAGAAGGAUGAAGGGGUUGCAAUAAAAUGGUGGCUGCGACUGUUUAAUAAAAACACAGCACUCUGCAAACACGAAAGUGGACGUAUAGGGUGUGACGCCUGCCCGGUGCCGGAAGAUUAAAUGAUGGGGUGCAAGCUCUUGAUUGAAGUCCCGGUAAACGGCGGCCGUAACUAUAACGGUCCUAAGGUAGCGAAAUUCCUUGUCGGGUAAGUUCCGACCUGCACGAAUGGCGUAACGAUGGCCACACUGUCUCCUCCCGAGACUCAGCGAAGUUGAAGUGUUUGUGAUGAUGCAAUCUCCCCGCGGCUAGACGGAAAGACCCCAUGAACCUUUACUGUAGCUUUGCAUUGGACUUUGAACCGAUCUGUGUAGGAUAGGUGGGAGGCUUUGAAACCGGGACGCUAGUUUCGGUGGAGCCGACCUUGAAAUACCACCCUGGUUUGUUUGAGGUUCUAACCUUGGCCCGUGAAUCCGGGUCGGGGACAGUGCAUGGUAGGCAGUUUGACUGGGGCGGUCUCCUCCCAAAGUGUAACGGAGGAGUUCGAAGGUACGCUUGGUACGGUCGGACAUCGUACCUAAAGUGCAAUGGCAAAAGCGUGCUUAACUGCGAGACCGACAAGUCGAGCAGGUGCGAAAGCAGGACAUAGUGAUCCGGUGGUUCUGUAUGGAAGGGCCAUCGCUCAACGGAUAAAAGGUACUCUGGGGAUAACAGGCUGAUACCGCCCAAGAGUUCAUAUCGACGGCGGUGUUUGGCACCUCGAUGUCGGCUCAUCUCAUCCUGGGGCUGUAGCCGGUCCCAAGGGUAUGGCUGUUCGCCAUUUAAAGAGGUACGUGAGCUGGGUUUAAAACGUCGUGAGACAGUUUGGUCCCUAUCUGCCGUGGGCGUUGGAAUCUUGACGGGGGCUGCUCCUAGUACGAGAGGACCGGAGUGGACGUACCGCUGGUGUACCUGUUGUCUCGCCAGAGGCAUCGCAGGGUAGCUAUGUACGGAAGAGAUAACCGCUGAAAGCAUCUAAGCGGGAAACUCGCCUGAAGAUGAGGAUUCCCUGGAGACUUGAUCUCCCUGAAGGGUCGUUCGAGACCAGGACGUUGAUAGGCUGGGUGUGGAAGCGCAGUAAUGCGUUCAGCUAACCAGUACUAAUUGCCCGUGCGGCUUGAUCCU